Molecule: long non-coding RNA, 463 nt
Filed under: Heterocephalus glaber (naked mole-rat)
Lineage: Eukaryota; Metazoa; Chordata; Mammalia; Rodentia; Bathyergidae
Description: lncRNA (ENSHGLG00100041036.1)
Source: RNAcentral
GAGGAAUAUCUUUUUUGAGGCAAAGACCUUCAUUGUCACAGUGGGCUCCCACAGAUUGAGAUGAAAUUUAGGUGCAAUGAGGCCAAUGACACCAUUAGAUCACAUCAUUUGCAGUAUUUCCAUUGAGGUAUUUACCACAUUACUGAUAAAGCAACUGAGCCUAGGACAAGGAAGAUAAACCAGCUCAAAAUCACAGAGCAGGUUCCAUUUACUUAUGCAUCAAGUGGGAAAACAAGACCAGCCGCCUCUACUGGCAGGGAAUCUUGUGGGAAAUGUGGGCAUGGACAUACACAGAAGGAAGAUAGUGUGAAGACACAGCAGAAUGCAGACAUCUGCCAGCCUGGGGGAGAGGCCUCAGAAGAAACUGAACUGGCCAACAAACUUGAUUUUGGACUUCCAGCCUCCACACUUGUGAGAAAAUACAUUUCUGUUAUUUAAGCCAUCCAGUCUGUGGUACUUUGUU